CACUGCAUAAAACUUAAGCUUUUACUCACGGAGGUUCAACUCCUCUUCUUAACA
RNAcentral lists this transfer RNA (54 nucleotides) under Loxodonta cyclotis (African forest elephant). RNAcentral describes it as "partial tRNA-Leu". Lineage: Eukaryota; Metazoa; Chordata; Mammalia; Proboscidea; Elephantidae. The record is from RNAcentral.